RNAcentral lists this ribosomal RNA (447 nucleotides) under uncultured bacterium. RNAcentral describes it as "SSU rRNA". It matches the Rfam family "Bacterial small subunit ribosomal RNA", at positions 26 to 518 of the family's 1533-position model. The record is from RNAcentral.
AGAACGAACGCUGGCGGCAUGCCUAACACAUGCAAGUCGAACGAGACCUUUCGGGGUCUAGUGGCGCACGGGUGCGUAACGCGUGGGAAUCUGCCCCUUGGUUCGGAAUAACAGUUAGAAAUGACUGCUAAUACCGGAUGACGACGUAAGUCCAAAGAUUUAUCGCCGAGGGAUGAGCCCGCGUAGGAUUAGCUAGUUGGUGAGGUAACGGCUCACCAAGGCGACGAUCCUUAGCUGGUCUGAGAGGAUGAUCAGCCACACUGGGACUGAGACACGGCCCAGACUCCUACGGGAGGCAGCAGUGGGGAAUAUUGGACAAUGGGCGAAAGCCUGAUCCAGCAAUGCCGCGUGAGUGAUGAAGGCCUUAGGUUGUAAAGCUCUUUUACCAGGGAUGAUAAUGACAGUACCUGGAGAAUAAGCUCCGGCUAACUCCGUGCCAGCAGCCGC